CCUUCGAUAGCUCAGUUGGUAGAGCGGGGAACUGUAGAUUUAUAAUUGUGAUCCCUAGGUCGCUGGUUCGAAUCCGGCUCGAAGGA
This is a non-coding RNA of Nematostella vectensis (starlet sea anemone), 86 nucleotides long. Lineage: Eukaryota; Metazoa; Cnidaria; Anthozoa; Actiniaria; Edwardsiidae. The record is from Rfam.